Pelobates cultripes (western spadefoot toad) is the source of this 210-nucleotide non-coding RNA. Lineage: Eukaryota; Metazoa; Chordata; Amphibia; Anura; Pelobatidae. The record is from the annotation of a GenBank genome assembly.
GUGGUGUCUGCCAGAGUGCUUGGAGUCCUCAGGAAGCGCUAGGAGCAUCCUUCAACAGAGGUACCCAGUCGGGGUGCCAGGCGAUCCGUUACAUUGGUGGCAAGCGGUGGGAUGGCGUCCUAGUGCGAGGUAAAGCAGCUCAGAGACACAGUUCGUUUGGAUUUACAAAUUGAAGGCGACACUAGUGUUUAUACAGCGUCCCUGUCUACA